Molecule: ribosomal RNA, 253 nt
Filed under: uncultured bacterium
Lineage: Bacteria
Description: partial 16S ribosomal RNA
Rfam family: Bacterial small subunit ribosomal RNA
Source: RNAcentral
UACGGAGGGUGCAAGCGUUAUCCGGAUUCACUGGGUUUAAAGGGUGCGUAGGUGGGUUGGUAAGUCAGUGGUGAAAUCUCCGAGCUUAACUUGGAAACUGCCAUUGAUACUAUCAGUCUUGAAUACCGUGGAGGUCAGCGGAAUAUGUCAUGUAGCGGUGAAAUGCUUAGAUAUGACAUAGAACACCAAUUGCGAAGGCAGCUCACUACACGAAUAUUGACACUGAGGCACGAAAGCGUGGGGAUCAAACAGG